RNAcentral lists this ribosomal RNA (253 nucleotides) under uncultured bacterium. RNAcentral's name for it is "partial 16S ribosomal RNA". It matches the Rfam family "Bacterial small subunit ribosomal RNA", at positions 524 to 776 of the family's 1533-position model. The record is from RNAcentral.
GACAGAGGGGGCAAGCGUUGCUCGGAAUCACUGGGCGUAAAGAGCGCGCAGGCGGUCGUUCAAGUCGAGUGUGAAAGCCCCCGGCUCAACUGGGGAGGGUCACUAGAUACUGAUCGACUUGAAGGCAGGAGAGGGAAGCGGAAUUCCCGGUGUAGUGGUGAAAUUCGUAGAUAUCGGGAGGAACACCUGUGGCGAAGGCGGCCAUCUGGACGUUCACUGACGCUGAGACGCGAAAGCGUGGGUAGCAAACAGG